CAGCUUACUUAUUCAUCAUUUCCUCAAGAUUCUGGUGCUGGAGAAGGCAGUUGGGCAGGCCUUUGCUUCAGUCCAAGUCAAUGGUCCAUGGUGAUUGCUUUCUUUAUUGCACUAAUUUUGUGUGUGUUGAUAUAUACUCUGGCCAUGGUGAAUAUCAUUUCAAUAUCUAUUGAACCAGCGAGAGAUUGAAACCAUCGCAACAGAUGGCUAAGUGUAUUAUUACGUACUGCAUUUUCUCCACGCUCAAGGAGAUGACUGUGUCCACUGUUGAUAGUGAAAUCAUUAAACUAAGUUGAAUUCCCAUUUCAAAACUCUACAGUUGCUUUAUGCUUUUGAACCAUCAAUAAAUUUAUGAUUUUGUGCUUCGGAUAUUAUGGUUUUUGUUCAAUGGGAUUAGAAACUUGGAAUUUUGGACAAAACUACAGCUGUGAGAACUUGACUGGAAGUUCUUUAAUGACACUGAUUUUGCAAUGACAACAUUGUUUCUGAACAUCAUUGGUAUAGAAUUUUAGCAGAUGACAUAUUUCAGAUUUAUCCCUGUUGCUUGCUUUACAUUCAGCUCCUUCAAACAUAAAUGAUUGUCUCUAUUACCUGUCUGAACAUUCUGUGCCUUUAUCAUCUCUAGUUCCAGGCAGUCAUAGCACGUAGCUUUUACACAAAGCUUUGAUGUUUAUGACCAAGACAUCCAUGAGCGCACUUUACACGCGUUAGUAGCAGUAAAGUUGUUCUUUCUGGUAUCGUGUUAAAUACACAGUCAGAAAAAAAUGUAUUGUAUUUUUCAUAAUUUAAAGAAGAGAGUGGCGGGAUCUGUGAUUUAGGGAUGGUAGAGAUUGUGCUGGCUGGAGUUCAUCUGGUUGUUAAGGGAUUUGUUUUCUAAAAUACACAGUUACCAAAAUAUAGAGUGAUUUAUUGAAUAGACCGAAGGGAACACCUUCCUUCAGUCUAAAAUACAUCAAUGUCCAGCAUAGAACAUCUCACCCUUUAAAAUUUCUCUGUCCUUCAGAAUUCCUGAAUUUUUUUCUACUUCUUCAAGUAACUUCUUUAUCCUGAAUAUUGUGGUAUCUUUAAUUCAUUUAUUCACUGAUUUGGCUAUGUUGCAAGCUCUGCUACCCAUCCUCAUUGAACUUCAUGGAGAAUUCAGACCAUGGAAGUGGAAAUUUUAUAUUAGCCGUUGCUGAGGGCUGCCAGAUAACUGGACUUGCGUUCUCAUUGCUUGACCCGGAUUACAUUUGUAUCCAAGGGGUUGAUUAUGAGUGCUCCAACUAGGAUGUAAUGGGAGGUUGGUGUGCUUCUGCUAGCGUCUUCUUGGCUGAUAAAAAGAGUGAAAUAAACAUGAUAGCAGAUCCUGAAAAAGGGAGUGAAUAAGCAUGGUGGUAGAUCCUUGAAAAUGGAUAUCCUCAGAGUUGUUCAGAUAUGUUCUCAUCUUUCGGAUUGGACGCUGCUGCUUGGGCAUCAGGAUUUUUAAGCAGCAAUCCUUCUUACCAGUUAUUUCAAGCAGUCGUUGAUCCUCCAGUCAAGCCACCAAUUGACUUCUUCGAGAAGUUAAAAAUAUAUGAGCAACUCCUACCACCAAAGGUGAGUAU
Populus nigra (black poplar) is the source of this 1583-nucleotide long non-coding RNA. RefSeq lists it as uncharacterized. The record is from RefSeq and is a predicted model, not a curated record. The transcript is spliced from 3 exons. NCBI's taxonomy places the organism in Eukaryota, Viridiplantae, Streptophyta, Magnoliopsida, Malpighiales, Salicaceae.